UAAGGUCAGUGAUGCUGACCAUCAAGGAUUAUGAUGCAAAGGCCGUGUGGAAGCAGAGCUGAAGCUGGUUGAAAACUUUUUUUUCAUAUUAUAAUUGAUUCUAGUAACUGGAGUUGGAGAAGUUGUAGGUAGACGUGAAGUUGCCAAGAAUGAGGAAAGGAAGGGACUUAGGGACAAAUCCACAGAUCAGACUCAAAAUAAUCAUGACUUUGGCCCCAGAAACAUCUCUUCAUAAAUUCAUCAGACCAGCUGGUAAAUACAAGACACGUAGACAAGAAAACCCAUCCUCCAUCCCAAGCCGAGGUAUCUGGAUGAUUCUAGCACCUCAUACCUGCAGUAGUUGCUCAAUAAAUACCUAUAGAAUGACUGCCUAUUGGAUAUAAAUAGGAGCAAAUGAUUUCAGGUUACCACCAACGUGGUAAGAUUUUCAAAAUUAAAAGGUCAGUGGGGUCUACAGGGAAACAGAAAUUUCCUGAAGUCAAAGGUGUCUCUGUAUUUAUUGGGACAAUGCUGUCUGUCCUUAAGUUAUUUUCAUUCUUAAUUUUACAGAUUCUCAUGCUACUUCGGCACCAUAUUGUUGACAAUAUAUGAAGGAAAGGGUGAGACCGUGAUACGUCUGACUAUUGCAUGGCGGUCAACCUAAGAUUUGGAGUGAGGUAAAUUCCAGCUUCCUGUUGCCCGGGGUCUCCAAAAGCGUCGUCCUCCCCAGGCCAGCUCCAGGACAUGUGCACUGACAGGGUGUCAGCUACCCUGGAUUGGGAGCCCCUAGGAUAAUCAAAGCCCUCUGCAUCCAUGUCCACAGCCUAUGACAUUCUGUUCAAGAGUCAGAUUGACCAUGUGAACCAGCGGCUCUGAGUCGUGUGUGUCAAGAAAACAGGCUUAGGCAUUGGGUCACGUUGGGUUCAAACCCUGACCUUACCUAAAGAGCUGUGUAACUUUGGAAGCAUAUCUUAACCUCCCUAAGCCUCAAUUUCCUCAUCUGUAGAACAGGGAGAAAGAAUGUCUGUCUUGUAUUAUGUAUCGGUAGGAUGAUUUGACUGUAAUAAGCAGAAACCCCUACUUAAACCAGCUUAAACAAUAAGGAGAUUUAUUAUCUCAUAGAAAAGGCAGCCUGCCCCAGGGACACUAUAUCAGCACUCUGGUUGCAUUUCUCUGUGUCUAUUGAUCACCCCCCACCUCCUCCCCAUGUAGGCUUCAACCUCAGGCAAGUAACAAGAUUCCAGGAAUUAGACUAAGGUUCAACGUGGAAUAGAGAAAGAAGAGAAACUCCUUCUUCUCAUGGCUCUCUCUUAGGAGUGAGAAAACACUUCCCAGAACCUCUGGCACACUUCCCAAGUCUUUUUGGCCAAAAUUUGGUCAUAUGCACAUUCCUGAAAUAGAAACUGGGAAAGGAAUGGGAGGACCCUCAGACAAAUCGGGGCCACCCUAACCCUGAGCGUGAGUGUUGGAGAGCUUCCAGAUUUAGUGAACACAUCCACAUGUAGGACGAGUGGCACACCCCAAUUCCAUGGGAACAGAAGCACUGCGCCUGGGACCCUUCUGGACUUCGCUCUAUAUAUUGCUUCAUCUGCCUGUUCAUUUUUAUCCUGUUUCAUAUCC
This 1599-nucleotide long non-coding RNA is filed under the name Equus caballus (horse). RNAcentral describes it as "lncRNA (ENSECAG00000051227.1)". Lineage: Eukaryota; Metazoa; Chordata; Mammalia; Perissodactyla; Equidae. The record is from RNAcentral.